AUGAUCCGGCGAGGUUGGGCCUGCAGGAGGAGGAUAAGGUCGAGAUCGUCCGGCGAGUCGUCCAUCGGCGUACGGCGGCAACGGCGAUUCGUCCUUGGCGCGGUCCGUUACCUAAGAUCAAUGGCCAACGCUAAUGUCAACAUGAACUUCAACGCGUUCCUAGAGAAAACCAAGCUGAAAGAUGAUGGCAGCAACUAUACGGACUGGGUCCGGAACCUGAGGAUCAUCCUCAUAGCUGCCAGGAAACAAUAUGUCCUAGAAGGACCGCUAGGUGACGCUCCCGUCCAAGAGAACCAAGACAUUAUGAAUGCUUGGCAGUCUCGCGCUGAUGAUUACUCCCUCGUUCAGUGCGGCAUGCUUUACAGCUUAGAACCGGGGCUCCAAAAGCGUUUUGAGCAUCACGGAGCAUAUGAGAUGUUCGAAGAGCUGAAACUAGUUUUCCAAGCUCAUGCCCGGGUCGAGAGAUAUGACGUCUCCGACAAGUUCUACAGUUGUAAGAUGGAGGAAAACAGUUCUGUCAGUGAGCACAUCCUGAAGAUGUCUGGGUUGCACAACCGUAUGACCCAGCUGAACAUUAACCUCCCAGAUGAGGCGGUCAUUGACAGAAUCCUCCAGUCGCUCCCACCAAGCUACAAGAGCUUUGUGAUGAACUACAACAUGCAGGGAAUGGAAAAGACCAUUCCUGAAGUGUUCUCGAUGCUGAAGUCAGCAGAGGCUGAAAUCAAGAAAGAACAUCGAGUGUUGAUGGUCAAUAAGACCACUAAGUUCAAGAAGGGCAAGGGUAAGAAGAACUUCAAGAAGGACGGCAAAGAUGUUGCCGCGCCUGGUAAGCCAGUUACCGGGAAGAAGUCAAAGAAUGGACCCAAGCCUGAGACUGAGUGCUUUUAUUGCAAGGGGAAGGGUCACUGGAAGCGGAACUGCCCCAAAUACUUAGCGGAUAAGAAGGCCGGCAACACCAAAGGUAUAUUUGAUAUACAUGUGAUUGAUGUGUACCUUACCAGUACUCGUAGUAACUCCUGGGUAUUUGAUACCGGUGUCGUUGCUCAUAUUUGUAACUCACAGCAGGAGCUGCGGAAUAAACGGAGACUGGCGAAGGACGAGGUGCCGAUGCGCGUCGGGAAUGGUUCCAGAGUCGAUGUGAUCGUCGUCGGCACGCUGCCUCUACAUUUACCUACGGGAUUAGUUUUGAACCUUAAUAAUUGUUAUUUA
RNAcentral lists this ribosomal RNA (1209 nucleotides) under Triticum aestivum (bread wheat). RNAcentral's name for it is "partial small subunit ribosomal RNA". The record is from RNAcentral. Lineage: Eukaryota; Viridiplantae; Streptophyta; Magnoliopsida; Poales; Poaceae.